Parus major (Great Tit) is the source of this 2386-nucleotide long non-coding RNA. RefSeq lists it as uncharacterized. NCBI's taxonomy places the organism in Eukaryota, Metazoa, Chordata, Aves, Passeriformes, Paridae. The record is from RefSeq and is a predicted model, not a curated record. The transcript is spliced from 3 exons.
CCCCACCGGCGACCCUCAGGUGAAGGAGCCCACGGGGAUCCCGGCACACGGCGGGGACCGGCCCCCUCCCCGCCAUCACCACCCCGGCGGCGGCGGCGGCAGCGGUUGCUGAGCAGCGCCCGAGUCGCAAAAGCGGCGGCGCCAGGCCCGGGAGAGGGAUAGGGAGCGCUAGCCGGAGCAGCCCCGUCUCGCCUCGGUACCCCAAGGUAUGAAACUGGGACCUGAGCCUGCUGUCACUCAGGAGCUCUCACUGGUUGUGGAAAUGAAGCUAUCUGUCGUAACCCUGUACCUGUAAUACUUCACAGAGGCACAGACUAUAAAGAAGGUGCUCAGAGAUGGUGGCAGUCACCAGCAGCUACAUAACUAAGGAACUGACAUUCAUGAGAAGAGCCUUUAGACAGAAAAUAAGAGAAAUCGAAGCAUUAAGGGAGAAGACAAUGGAUAAAGGUGAAUUUGGAGACAUGAAGAGAGAGACCUUGAAGAAGAAGUCAAGAUGCAGAAAGAACAGGUCACAAACAGAGGUCAAACCAGAAACCUGAGCAACUAAAAAUUUGGAUGACACAUUUUGAUAAAACCAAGAUGAAAGUAGCUAAAAGUAGAUAUGAAGUAAAAAAGCAAAUCUUCAAAGCUGAAUAAUGAAACACUGAGGGAAAGUGGGAAAAAAGAGCAGUGUAGUGAGCAACAGAACUCCUGUUGUCUGAUUUCUUAAAAAUUUGUUUCUUAUGACUUCACUUUCUUUUGUUGAGGAAAAUGCAAACUUUGAGUGAAGUUUUUCCUGGUGUUGACAAUUAAUAAUAAUUAAUAAUUAAUAAUUGUACAUUCACUGGAAGAAGGAGCACAUGCUGCAGCCUUUCCAGCAGGAAAGGCAAGCGCAAAUCUUUUUUCUUCACCCAGUCAUCAAUCUUCAUGAGAACUGCAGAAAGUUGGUAUUUUUAAGAUCUUCACUCUGUUAUUGCUGAGGUUUCAGCUUACCAAUGGGUUAAAGAAUGGGUCAUUAGAUUUAGAUGCUCACAUAAACACACACAUAGCUGAAUCAAAUAAGCCUUAAGAAAUAAGACAAAUUGGGUGGAACAAAUCCCAGUGGAAGAAGAGCUGGGGUUAUUGAGUGGAAAGGAGAUGAAUGAGGCAAGACAAAGAGAAAACUUUGUCAUGGCUCCAGGACAAAUGGUGAUAGAGGAGGUAAAACACACUGAGAUAGUGUUUAAUAUAAAGAGACCUGAGAAGGAGGCAGAGGAGACUGAUUUAUUGAAAAACAGGAGGGGAAGGGAUAGGAUGUGAAAAGACUGUGUCUGACUGCUUCUGAAGUAGGAAGGGGAAGAGGAAGCUCUGUCUCCCCAGUGAUGGGCAAUAUGGAACAUGAGGUUUGUAAGGCAGAAGAGAGCUCAGUAAACUGAAGGAGGAGAUAAUGAGAAGGAAAGUGAGCAUAUGCAGCAGUGGAAAAUACAGUAGUGCCACCUUACUGAAGUGACAGAAGGCAGUGGGCCCCGGCAGCCAAGGACAGAGAUGUGGAUAUGGGGAAAGGAUAAGCUGACAUAAGGAUGAACUGUGUGAAGAAAAUUGGGUAAUGGGCAUUAGAUCACUUCUGCCUUGCAACUGUGUGCCAGAGCAUGAGGACAAAGGCUGGAAAGGGCUGGCAGGCCUGCUCAGCUGUUCUGUGGUGUGGAUGCUGCCAAAGGGGCAGGUGGAGCAUAACUGAUAAAUGCUUUGUUCAUGGGAGAAAUAUUGAAUUAUGCCUGGUAAUUAUACAGCAAGGGAACUAAUGAUAAUGAUGUGCCUGUGUAUCAGUGGCCCUGGGAGUAUCCAUUAAUCAUUUUUACCAGUCAAAGAUGGUUGUGAACUCUCCAACAAGACAUGGCUUCGUCAGAGCAGGCUGGUAUCAGCACUGGGAUGGGAUCAGCAUCCGUGAUGAAUCAUGGAGUGGGAUUCCAAGGGACUGCCAGGCAUCCAGCCCCUACAAGCAAGGGAGCCAACUGGCUUGGGGGCCUAGAAACUCUGAAACUGCUUCCAGAGGGCAGACACAUCCCAGCGAUCCAGACCCGGGAAGGGAACAGACACUGAGCAAAAUUAACACCAUCAUCAAAGUCACAGCUGCUGUUCAGGAGGUGGGCAGCACUGAGCCCAGCAAGCACCACACCAAUUUCAGCCAGCAACUGCCAGGGGUCAUACUUCAUUUCAGAAAUCCCAUGUGUUGGUAUUUGCAGGCUAUCUUUUCAACAGAAAUUCUGUCUUACAGGAAACAUCAGAAAAUGGUGUCUUUCCCAGCCUAAAUAAAAUAUAUCUGUAUUUCUAAGAUUUGGCUGACUUUGUUUGCCACAUAUAUUUGCUACCUGCAGGAUUGUAGGUUUCUGAGUCAUGGUGAAUCAUUAAAAGGUUUUUGCACUUGGAA